Molecule: long non-coding RNA, 4238 nt
Organism: Bombus huntii
Lineage: Eukaryota; Metazoa; Arthropoda; Insecta; Hymenoptera; Apidae
Exons: 2
Source: RefSeq, a predicted model, not a curated record
GCCGCUACUCGUUAACUCGCUUUUCUUUUCUUCGCACCUUAUCCUGACUCACUGUCGCUUGAUUCCAUAAGAAUUCCAAGCGAUCCUACAUAUUUAUCUGAAUUUCUAUCUCUAUAGACACAAUCGGAGGAACAGCACAUCAGCUCCUAUUUGUUUUAUUUCCAUGUUUUAUACAAUUUUGCACGUUGCGAGAAUUCUGUGCAGCUUUGCAUCUUUAAAUGUCGCAUAGAGUCCAAAUUACAUGGGAACAUGACUGUAGCUCCUUUUUGCUAUGGAAUGUUCCACAAAUUAGGAUAAUGGGGUUUGGAAGAAGUUGCGACGAUCAGGACACGUUUGGAAUUUUAGAAUCCAAGUUACAUGAUAUUUGGUGUGGCUGCUUUGCGUUGUUGAAUAUUUCACAAACUGGAGAUGUUAGUGCGAAUUUUCAGGAAAUUGAAGUAAUUAAGAGAUAUGGAAGUUGGUAGAGGAUAUUGGACACUAGUCUGUUGCUGCUUAUUGCUGUGCAACUUUUGACAAGUUGAGAAUAUUAACGUCAUCAGUGUCGCUUCUAUCAAUGAGUCGUAGGAACAUUGGAUGUGAGGUAGUAGAACCCUUGUUUUAUGGCUGCUUUUGUUACCGCCUGAUAAGUAGUCUAAUAGAUCUUAUUCUAUGACUAUUUCUACCGUAAUCUGACAAGAAAAUAUUAAUAAGGAAGUUAAGAUGAAACUUGAUGCUAUACGAAGAAGAACAAUGUAAAGGAAUUUUAUAUGAACAAACGAUAUGAAAGAAACACAAAUUUCGAACAGUCUUGAUUCUCGUACCUGGUGCUCACUAAGAUCAUCGUCUCUAUCUAAAAUCUAGGUCAGUUACAUUGAAAAAGUUGUAACACAAGUGACAAGGAAAAAGAGCAAAUUCCUUUUUCUUUAAAGAACCAUCUUUUUCUGCAAAUAUCCAUUUUGCUAGGAAUAAUUUGAUGUGUAACGAUAGAUGGUAUGUAAAAGAUACUGCAAACAUUGAGAUAACAAUCGGCAUACUUCGGAAACGUAAUAUUUACGGCAGGAGAAAGAGAGAUAUUCGCCACGGGAACGUUAGAGAAAUAUACAAUAAGAUGGGCCACGAUUUUGUAACACCGUAGUAACGGCGUGGAUUUUUAGAAAGAAACCGGAACGCAGCGAGAAUAUAUCUAUAAACGAGCCGAGAGAGCAAUGAAAGUCGAAGCCUGUAAGAAAUUUCAGAGAAACCUGAGAACUCUCUACGCGAGAUUUUAUUUCAUGGAACGUGAAAUACAGGCCUUGGAGGAGGUUCAAGGAUCUUUCUCGUUCAAUCUUUAAAUCCACUCUGUUUGUUUUAUUAACGCCUUUAUAAAUAUUCCAAUUUUUAUGUGGCUCAAACUUAAUCAAACAUAAAUUAACGCUAUUAUUUAUCAUGUUGUUAGAGUUGGUUCGUUUCACUUUCAUCUAAAUCUGCUCCAUCUUAUUAUUUUUUUUUUCUAAAUAUUCAAGUUUACAUGGUCUAAAUCCAAUCUCGAUUUUUACUCAAGCAUAAUCAAACCUGAAUUAAGCUAUUCGUUGUAAUAUCGUUGGAAUUGUUUAAUAAUAUUUCAAUUUCGUCCACAUCAACUUUUUACUCUUCUACAUUUAUUGUCAAGAAUGUUUUUCAGAUGUUGAAAAUUUGGUAUCAAACCUAAGCCCAAACUAAAUUAAACCAAGCUAUUUGUCAUGAUAUUGUUAGCGUUGGUUUAUUUCAGUUGAUGAUUCGCUAGCUUUUUCAAAAUGCAGCGUUUGAAUCAUGCUUCCAUAUUUUUUUACUUAACUCAAACUUGAAUUGGUUUACUUCAAACCGUAUCAAACUUCGUCAAACUUAGCCUAACUGUUGAUCGCUAUCUCUUAAAAUUGAUAUACUCUUUUAACCUGAUUGAAAGUUUGAUGGGUAUAAUUUUGGAUGAAAAUUUAGGAGUGUUUGAAUAAGGAGCUAAAAAUUUGUCAAUAGCGGUCUGAAUCAUGUCGAUGACAAUGCGCCACGUAUUUUGGUAUUCGUUUACAUUGUGCUACACAGGAAAAUAUGUUUUCUGAGCGAUGAACCAGCGAGAGAAAUACCAAAAUAAAUUUAUUACUCAUACGUUUUGGACUAAUUCCCGGGCCCUAAUGGCAUUCGCGAAUUACAGCAACGCGAUACCAUAAUUUUUAAAUUAACACCAGUCGAAUUGGCACUAGUUCAAUUUUUAACAAAAUCUUUCCCCCAACUUUUUCCUCCAAAAGUAAACUUUCUCCUCUAUCAUCAUAUCAUUAAUUAUAAUUUUUAUUCUAGAAUGAAAACGAAGAAAUCAUUCAGGGAAGUAACUACAUAUAUUAAGAGACUAUAAUUCAGAAAAAUCUUAAGGCCAAGAGAUUCCAAUUGAAGGAAGAAAAUCCAACACACAGUCAGCAUAGGACAACAUGGAAGAACUAACUAGCCACUUGGAAACGAAGAAAAAUGACGUUUCAAGAGAUAACUUGAUAACUACACAUUUAUAAAAAAUUUCAAUAUGCAAAAGUAUACAAAGUACAUAGACUGUACGGAAAUAUCGAGAAGCAUGCUCAAAAUAUCAAAAGCGAAGAAGCUCUGGUAUUAUUUAAAUGAUACGAAUACAAAAUUCUACUUUGGUUCCAUUACUCUACACCUGUUCGUAAAGAUACGAAUUUACUUAAAAAUCCACAAUCUAUUCAGUUGUCAUUGGGUUGUAUUGACAAAAUCCGCAAUCACUUAGUUACCAACCCAAUAAUAAUAAUAUAAAUUCCACAUAGAGAUGACAAUUUAAAUUAAUCCUGAAGAGGAGAACUUUCAAGGAGCAACAUCAAAGUAUGAACCAACCAGCUCAAACGAUAAAUUUUAAAAGAAAGCUUCCAGACAAAUAAGUGCGUACAUUAAGAGUGCAUAAUUAUAUGAAUUUUGAAGAGGAGAAAUUCCAAGGGCUGAGACAGUUGGACGAAAAGAGUCCAGCACAAUGGCUUCCUGAAUGCUGAGCUUGCGUGGGCGUAACCGCGGUGCGAUCAUAUACUCGGCGAGCUUUUUACAUAAAGCCACGUGCACGCAUAUAAGUCUUUCUAAAAAUAGAAAUUUGAGCAAGAUACUAUUAAUAGUGGAUGAGUGUGUUGCCACAGUGGAUGUGUGCGUGGCUCUCACUCGGUUUCGCUCGCUGCUCGUUACCGACCAGCUUUUCGGAAAGACCGCCCCUAACCAAAUGAAAGAAAAACGCAAUUCGAUCCUUAGCUACCACUAGCCCAUUUUCGCGCCGAGAUAAAAGUCCAACUAGCCUUCCUCCUAUAGUUUCGACCUUGUUCCUCGUUUCAUCGUUAUGAGACACCAAAAUUAUAAAUUUGAUCCUUUCGAUAUGAACAUCGCGGAUGAUAAACGUAAACGUCGAAUUUUCAUAGAUCUUUCUGAUGUUCGAUCGAUGUUCCGAUGAUGUUCUGUUACUCGAUAGUUGACGACAAGAAUAAUAUUUGUUGAAGUCGAAAAAGUGACAGGAAAAAUAUUUUUUUUUUUUUUUUCGUAAACGACUCGAGAUAUUUUUGAUAUUACCAGAAGGAUGAAGAGUUACAGAUUUAUUCUUCGCUCGAAUCGGAUUUACGAUUUUGCUCGAGUUUAGAUAGUCGUUAAAUAAAUAUAGGUAAUUAAGUAAAAAUACGUGAUGGAAAAUUCGCCAUCGCGAUUUUCGAAUUGGAAAUAAACCGUAGUAUUUUAUUUUAGAUAGAAAGUUGAGUCUCAAUUUUUACUUAGGCCAGUUUAUGAUCUCGCUUCUCUUUCGUUUCUUUCAAAUGGAUUUUAUCUUUUUAAGUGUUUUUUUUUUUUUUAAUUUUUUAUUCUAUAGGAAGAAACUCACACGACUAUUUAGAUAUAUCACGGGUGAUCCCUUAUGAAACAUUCAACCCUAACGUUCUCCGUUGCUAUUUUAACGCGUGGACAAUAAAAAAUGUAUAAGUACACGUAUAUAAUUAGAACGUUGUCCGGAGACACGUGACACGUCACCGCGAAGCGUUGUCUCGCUGAUUGACAACGAAAUUCGAUUAUGCGCCUGAGAAUGGAUGUCCGUUCAAUCGCGUCAAAAAUAGCGGAAACCACAGCAAAGAGGAAGUGCUUAAAAAUUCAUCGCUACACGAAAAGUGCUCGCUUUAUAUAUAUUUAACCGAGAGGUGCAACGAUCUCGUCGUGUAUCCAUUAUGCAACGCGACUGCAGAGAAAAUUCAUGAGAUGUUCAAUAAAAAGCUUAAAAAAAUCAA